Molecule: ribosomal RNA, 449 nt
Filed under: uncultured prokaryote
Description: bacterial SSU rRNA
Rfam family: Bacterial small subunit ribosomal RNA
Source: RNAcentral
UGGGGAAUAUUGCACAAUGGGCGCAAGCCUGAUGCAGCCAUGCCGCGUGUGUGAAGAAGGCCUUCGGGUUGUAAAGCACUUUCAGUCAGGAGGAAAGGUUAGUAGUUAAUACCUGCUAGCUGUGACGUUACUGACAGAAGAAGCACCGGCUAACUCCGUGCCAGCAGCCGCGGUAAUACGGAGGGUGCGAGCGUUAAUCGGAAUUACUGGGCGUAAAGCGUACGCAGGCGGUUUGUUAAGCGAGAUGUGAAAGCCCCGGGCUUAACCUGGGAACUGCAUUUCGAACUGGCAAACUAGAGUGUGAUAGAGGGUGGUAGAAUUUCAGGUGUAGCGGUGAAAUGCGUAGAGAUCUGAAGGAAUACCGAUGGCGAAGGCAGCCACCUGGGUCAACACUGACGCUCAUGUACGAAAGCGUGGGGAGCAAACAGGAUUAGAUACCCGCGUAGUCC